Long non-coding RNA from Gastrolobium bilobum, 497 nucleotides. RefSeq lists it as uncharacterized. The record is from RefSeq and is a predicted model, not a curated record. Lineage: Eukaryota; Viridiplantae; Streptophyta; Magnoliopsida; Fabales; Fabaceae. The transcript is spliced from 3 exons.
GCCUCUUGCCGUGAAAGAACCGCGAUGAGACGGAGGCGGUGGCGGCGUUGCCGGAAAACUUCUUUCGGGUGCCGGUGGUGAGCUUCAGUUGGUGUAUGGCAUAAUAUUGCGGCGAGCUUCAAUUGGUUUCGGACCUCUGCGGCUUCGACAAGGUGAAGCUCAAUGCGGCUUGUUGAAGUGCAAGAAAUAGAAGGAAUAUUUGAAGGAAGCACCAUAUCCAGCCGAAUAAAUUGAAGAAUUCAUUGUGGAAAAGUUGACUUCAUUUUUGAGCAGUAAUGCAGCUUAUUUAUAAGUCAUAAAAGUUGCAAAUCAAUACAAGUUCAAUCAGAGUGCUGCUCAUGUGUAUUCAGAGGUCAAGGGUGUACAUGCUUUCUAGGAUGCUUUAUCAUCAACUCUAAGGUUAGUUUUUUGGAUCUAUCAUAUAUGGCUAUGAUUUAUCAUGUCUGUUCUUUAUUUUUUAGUGUAAUUCUCAUGAGACAUUUUUGUAUUGAUUAAAA